This 230-nucleotide ribosomal RNA is filed under the name uncultured bacterium. RNAcentral's name for it is "partial 16S ribosomal RNA". It matches the Rfam family "Bacterial small subunit ribosomal RNA", at positions 15 to 236 of the family's 1533-position model. The record is from RNAcentral.
GAUAUGGCUCAGAUUGAACGCUGGCGGCGUGCUUAACACAUGCAAGUCGUACGCGAAAGGGACUUCGGUCCCGAGUAAAGUGGCGCACGGGUGAGUAACACGUGGAUAAUCUGCCUCUAUGAUGGGGAUAACAGUUGGAAACGACUGCUAAUACCGAAUACGCUCAUAAUGAACUUUAUGAGGAAAGGUGGCCUCUGCUUGCAAGCUAUCGCAUAGAGAUGAGUCCGCGU